This 77-nucleotide small RNA is filed under the name Xanthomonas prunicola. Its description in RNAcentral is "sX9 sRNA". It matches the Rfam family "Xanthomonas sRNA sX9". Lineage: Bacteria; Pseudomonadati; Pseudomonadota; Gammaproteobacteria; Lysobacterales; Lysobacteraceae. The record is from RNAcentral.
GUGUCUCACGCGUACAUUCCGGUUCUAAGCGUGCCGUCCACGCCCAGCGGGCAACUGCUCGCUACGUUUUGGUCGCC